This 253-nucleotide ribosomal RNA is filed under the name uncultured bacterium. RNAcentral's name for it is "partial 16S ribosomal RNA". It matches the Rfam family "Bacterial small subunit ribosomal RNA", at positions 524 to 776 of the family's 1533-position model. The record is from RNAcentral.
UACGUAGGGUGCGAGCGUUAAUCGGAAUUACUGGGCGUAAAGCGUGCGCAGGCGGUUCUACAAGCUGGGUGUGAAAGCCCCGGGCUCAACCUGGGAGGUGCAUUCAGGACUGUAGAGCUCGAGUGCGGCAGAGGGAGGUGGAAUUCCAGGUGUAGCAGUGAAAUGCGUAGAGAUCUGGAGGAACACCGAUGGCGAAGGCAGCCUCCUGGGCCGACACUGACGCUCAUGCACGAAAGCGUGGGGAGCAAACAGG